Molecule: ribosomal RNA, 342 nt
Filed under: Triticum aestivum (bread wheat)
Lineage: Eukaryota; Viridiplantae; Streptophyta; Magnoliopsida; Poales; Poaceae
Description: partial small subunit ribosomal RNA
Source: RNAcentral
AUGGCCGACGUUCAGCUGAAUCUAGACGGCGGGGCGACGGCGGUGGAGGCAGAGCCUGUCGAGUGCAGUAGGCGUGUGUUCAUAUGCCUAGUGGGUUGCCUCACCGUCACGCUCGGCGUCAUCCUAGCAUGGAUGUUCGUGUACGAGAAAUCCUGUCGGCCAUUGUCGACCGCGGCCAAGCUCUUCGUCGUGCUUCUGACCGGCGCUGUCUCAUUCUGCUUUGCCCGCUCUUUCGGCAAGUUUGCUCUUCUCCUUGUCGAGUGGUACCACGGCAAUCCCGAGGGAGAGAGGCUUGUGGAUAGCUUGAUCCAAUCCGAUCGGCCCUUGAUCAACAUGUUGUAG